This 5679-nucleotide long non-coding RNA is filed under the name Fragaria vesca (wild strawberry). RNAcentral describes it as "long non-coding RNA (FVES_LNC001495)". Lineage: Eukaryota; Viridiplantae; Streptophyta; Magnoliopsida; Rosales; Rosaceae. The record is from RNAcentral.
CUUUGAAAGGAAUCACAGACUCGGUGAGUCUAAUUCUGUUAGGACCAUCUCCCUUACCUUGAUACUAAUCACCUAGUUAUCCAUGGAUCACAUGUAAUGAAGCUCCAUCCCUUUCAGCUAUGCUGGCAGAGCUGUUGCUAUCACGACCACUUCAAACUGGUUCCCUUUUGUCUCCUAGAGUCUAGGACUCUUUUGGCUGUACUAGGUGGCAUUAGUCCACAUCUUCCCUUUAUAUUUGUACUUCCAAGCCAUUGGCAGGAUAUCAAUGAAAUUAUGCAUCUCUAAAACUCCUUUCUCUUCUCUCCUUUUCUCUGUAACUUCCUCUUAACCAGUUUGGUUCUACCAUCUGGUAUCAGAGCCAUCAUGGCUCCGGCAAGGACGGUACAAGUCUCUGUGCCCUCCACCACCCCUCCAAAUUCCGCCUUUGUACAACCACUCCCUCAAGAUGAAAACACCGGUAUCUUAACUUCUUCAUCUUAUGAACCCGAAGAAGUAACUCAAACCCAUCUUGCUGAAGUAAGGCAGGGUAUGGAAAUCUUGCGUGAGGAAAUGCAAGAAGCUGCAGUCUCAGCCACGUCCCAGCAACGUGCCUUUGAAAAUCGCAUCACAGCUCACCUCGCAGCCAUGCAAAACACCAUGGUGCAAUGCCUAGUGCACCGCCAGCCCCCACCACAUUCAACACCACCCGGUUCCUCAUCUUUCCCAGAAAUCACCUUCGGCAGCCUCUCUGACGCAGGUCCUCCCCCUCCCUCCCACACCAUUUCCAAAUCAACUCACCAUUCACCAAGGUUCCCCACAUACUCCAACCCUCACAGUCACACCACCCGUUGAAGCCACCAUCACAUCCUUCCCUCCACUUCCCCUGCCUACCUCUACUACCCAUGUAACCCCACCACUCAACCUUAUACCCGUCCCUGACCUCAACCACCUCUUCGCACAACAACAACAACAACCCAAUCCUACAAACCAACUGCCCCACCAACCUAUUGCUGCGAAUGGCCACCCCUUCUACCGGCCUCCAAAGAUCGACCUUCCCCGAUUCAUGGGUGAUGAUGCAAUAGGUUGGUUCGCCAUGGCUGAGCGAUACAUCCGUGGCCAACAAAUUCCGGCCGGUGAGCGCAUCGCUAUCCUCGCUUCCUACUUCGGACCAACUCCAUCUCUAUGGAUGAAUUUCUUUGAGCAAAGGAACCCAAACGCCACCUGGGAACAAUUUGUAGCAGCCUUUCUGGAGCAUUUCGGAGGAAGCACUGGUUCCGAUUACAAGGCAGCCCUCUCCCAUUUACAGCAGAAAACCACGGUGGAUGCCUUUAUCUCGGAAUUCACACUGUUAGCGUGCCGGGUACCGGAGUGGUCAGAUGCCGACUUGGUUCCCAUGUUCAUCGGCGGAUUGAAAUCUGAAAUCCAACAAGACGUUGCUGUGAUGGAACCACGUUCCCUGGCAGUGGCUCAGCGCAUAGCCCGACGCUAUGAGAUGAAGCUACAAGACAAUCGCCCUUCCUGUUCAGUUCAUCCGUUUCCUUGGCAUUCCUCCAACAGACAACACAAUCCUCCAUCAGCCACGUUCCUACCCCAGAACCAACUCACCAAUCCAAACAGCCAUUCCCUGUCCCCAUCCAUCUCCACUCCCCACAAACCUUCCACUGACCAAUCUAGCAAAUGGUGGCCUUCUAGUGCACAAAGAGAGCGCCGAAACCAAGGCCUCUGCUUCCAUUGUGAUGAGAAGUGGUCCAAAUCCCACGUGUGCAAAAAUCCGGUCAUGGCAAUUCUUGACUCCCUAACACCAUGUGGCCAACCCGAAGUUGAAGAGGCAAGUGACGAGGCUAACGACAUACCUUUGGAUCAGGACCACCACUUACCCUUGCAUGCUAUCACCAAUACCAACGUCAGCGAGAUGCUACGUUUCACGGGCACAGUGAAUGGCCACCCCAUCAACAUCUUUGUCGAUUGCGGUUCGGCAAUGAAUUUUCUGAACCCGGAGAUUGCGACCAAGAUCGGCUGUACCAUAGCUCCUCCAGGUGAUCACCGAUUCAAAACGGCGACGGGCCAACCGGUUCGGGACUCUGGUACUGCGCAAGACGUCACCGUCACCAUUCAAGGGUAUGAAUUUGUUGAUUCCUUUUUGUUGAUGGCUGUCACCGAUUGUGACUUGUUACUGGGAGCACAAUGGCUCGACACUCUCGGCUUCAUAGGGCUGCAUUUCGCUGAAAAAGUAAUGGCCUUCACAGCCAAUGGCCGCUGCCAUGUUUUGCACGGCAUCAAAGGCAGGACACACGAGCUAGAUGAACAGGCACUCUAUGCCAUGUUAUCUCAGGAGCAAUUGGAUGAUCUCCACUCAUUUCCCAAGCCCAAACUCACACCACUCCAAGCCCAUCACCCAAAGGUCCAACAAGUACUUGAGUCAUUCCAAGAUUUAUUCACUCCACCCACAAACCUCCCACCGAAACGUCCCAUAGAUCACUGCAUUCCACUUCAACCAAACACCGGUCCCAUUAAUGUGCGACCUUACCCAUAUGGCCAUUCCCAAAAGAAUGAGUUGGAGGCUCAAGUCCGUGAGAUGCUAUCCCAAGGCAUAAUUCGUCCAAGUCGAAGCCCAUUCUCAUCUCCUGUACUCCUUGUGCGUAAGAAAGACAAGACUUGGCGCUUUUGCGUAGACUAUCGCGCCUGGAAUGCUGCCACCAUCAAAGAUCGGUUCCCAAUUCCGGUCGUUGAUGAACUUUUAGAUGAGCUUCAUGGUGCCACUAUCUUCACCAAACUUGAUCUCCGAGCCGGCUACCACCAAGUUCGUAUGAACGAAGAUGACAUCUACAAAACCGCCUUCCGUACUCACGAAGGCCAUUAUGAGUUCUUGGUAAUGCCUUUCGGUCUCUCUAAUGCACCCUCCACUUUCCAAGCUUUGAUGAAUGAGUUGUUUAAACCAUUAUUGCGCAAAGGUGUCCUUGUUUUCUUUGAUGACAUCUUAAUUUAUAGCAAAGAUUUAGAAUCUCAUGUUCGACACCUUGAGGAGGUCUUCCACAUCCUUCGGCAGAAUCUACUGAAGCUCAAGGAAUCAAAGUGUGUCUUCGCUCAACCACAAGUGCAAUAUUUGGGCCAUGUCAUAUCAGGCAAGGGAGUGGCAGCAGACCCAGAGAAAAUCAAUUCCUUGGUACACUGGCCCAAGCCCACUUCAGUCAAAGCCCUACGCGGCUUCCUCGGUCUCGCCGGCUAUUACAGGCGAUUGGUGCGCCAUUUCGGGACUAUAGCCAAGCCCUUAACUGACCUCCUCAAGCGCAACCAGUUUCUCUGGUCGCCAAGGGCAGAAGAGGCCUUCAAUCAGCUCAAGUCAGCAGUGACAACAGCGCCGGUGUUAGCUUUGCCCGAUUUCUCCAAACCGUUUGUGGUGGAAACAGACACCUGCGGUUCCGGCAUCGGCGCCGUCCUCUCACAGGAGAAACGACCGGUGGCUUACCUCAGCAAGGCCCUCUCUCCUUCUCACCAGACGCUAUCCACAUAUGACAAAGAGAUGAUGGCUAUCCUCUUUGCAGUUGGCAAGUGGCGGCACUACCUGUUGGGAAAUCGGUUCACCAUCCUUACCGAUCACCAAACCUUGCGCCAUCUUCUCACGCAAAGGAUCUCGACCCCCUCUCAACACCGAUGGCUUUCGAAACUGUUGGGAUAUGAUUAUGAGAUUGUGUAUCAAGCAGGCUCCCAGAACACGGUUCCGGAUGCGUUGUCACGUCAGUUUGAGGUAUGCGCAAUACACUCCAUAUCUGCCCCAGUGUUUGAUUUCAUUGGUCAAAUUGAUAACGCUUGUCUCCGAGAUCCCGAAGCUCAGGCUGUGGUUCAAGCCUUGAAGGCAGGGCAGCCAACCAAAUCCGGGUUCACUUUGUGUCUUAACAGGCUGCAUUAUAAGGGGCGGCCAUUUGUCCCAAGCUCCUUCGAGUGGCGAGCCAAGCUGCUAUAUGAGUUCCAUUCCUCCCUACAGGCCGGUCACUCAGGGUACUUGCGUACUUACGAACGCAUUCGGCGCAAUUUUGCUUGGCCAGGGAUGCGUAGAACCAUCAAACAUUACAUUGCCGCUUGUGAUCAAUGUCAGCGGUAGUCCUAUGAGACAAUCCGGCCACCCGGACUACUUCAACCACUGCUGGUCCCAGAUGAAGUUUUUACCGACAUAUCCAUGGACUUCAUUAACGGUUUACCGCAAUCACAAGGUCACAACGCGAUCAUGGUCGUGGUUGAUCGCCUCUCCAAAUAUGCUCACUUCAUUCCGGUCUCCCAUCCCUACUCAGCCUCCGGCAUUGCUUCAAUUUUCACUAAGGAGAUUUUCAGGCUCCAUGGCACACCUAAGAGGAUUGUUAGUGAUCGAGACCCCAUCUUCAUCAGUCAUUUCUGGCGCACCUUCCAUCGACUACAAGGAACACAGCUAUGCCACAGCUCCGCUUAUCAUCCCCAAUCCGAUGGCUAAACCGAGGUCGUCAAUCGAUCCUUGGAGCACUACUUGCGCUGCUAUGUAGCCGACAGGCCUUCUUCAUGGGCUGAACUACUCCAUUGGGCGGAAUGGUGGUAUAACACCACAUUUCACUCCUCCAUCCGUAUGACACCGUUUGAAGCACUCUAUGGCAAGCCUCCCCCGUCGAUCACAAGGUAUCUACCGGGUUCUACUGCUGUCCAUAACACGGAUGUGGCACUUCGCAGCCGUGAUCAACUGCUAUCCCAACUCAAACACAACUUGGAAUUGGUCCGCAACCGAAUGAAGCAGCAAGCUGAUAAGCAACGGACUGAGAGAGAAUUUCAGGUCAAUGAUUGGAUGUUUCUCAAGCUGCACCCCUACCGACAACAAUCUGUUGUCAAGCGUCCUGCCCAUAAGCUAGCACCACGCUUUUACGGUCCAUUUUGGGUCCUCGAAAAGAUUGGUUCAGUUGCAUAUCGCUUGGCUCUCCUAGCUUCCUCUAAGAUCCACCCGACCUUCCAUGUGUCACUCCUAAAAAAGAGGGUCGGCGAUGGUGAACCGGUGUCCACUACACUGCCGCCGUUUGACGACCAUGGAGAGUUACUGUGGACACCCGAGCGGGUACUUGACAUGGCUGUACAACGCCGGAUGAAGAGGAAUGUCACCAUGUGGCUUGUCCAAUGGCAAGGACUUCCAGCUGAAGAUGCCACUUGGGAAGUAGCUCACUUACUCCGAGCUAAGUUUCCCAACUUUGGCGCUUGAGGACAAGCACCAUCUUGAGGGGGUGGGACUUGUUAGGACCAUCUCCCUUACCUUGAUACUAAUCACCUAGUUAUCCAUGGAUCACAUGUAAUGAAGCUCCAUCCCUUUCAGCUAUGCUGGCAGAGCUGUUGCUAUCACGACCACUUCAAACUGGUUCCCUUUUGUCUCCUAGAGUCUAGGACUCUUUUGGCUGUACUAGGUGGCAUUUGAUGAGCACAUUUUAUAUCAUAUUAUUAUCCCUAAUUUAUAUGUGUUAGUUAUUUGCCUUUAAUUAGUUUGAGUUAUUUAGUUUGUUUUUGUGUUCUUAUAGAUGUUUUGUCUAAAUAAAUAAAAUGUUAAAGUUAUGGAAGCAAUUUACUUAUUUUCAUAUAGUAAAUUAAGUCUUUGUUUUAACAUGAGUCUUUUUCCCUUUAAUUAGAUGAAUAAUUGCAACACAUGUUCUUCUUAUUCUAGUAGCAUGUAUGCAUAUAUGCAUGUGUUAAAUUGGUGGA